CCCUUAGAUGUUCUGGGCCGCACGCGUGCUACACUGAGUGGAUCAGCGGGUCAGGUUGCGCGAAAGCGUUUCCUAAUCUUUAAAUCCGCUCGUGAUGGGGAUUGACGGUUGCAAUUUUCUGUCAUGAACGAGGAAUACCUUGUAAGCGCGGGUCAUCAUCCCGCGCUGAAUACGUCCCUGCCCUUUGUACACACCGCCCGUCGCUCCUACCGAUUGAUUGAUCCGGUGAAUUACAUAGAAUUUUGCGUUUUACAUGACGGAAGAUGAAGUGUUUUAAACCUUAUCAUUUAGAGGAAGGAGAAGUCGUGACA
RNAcentral lists this ribosomal RNA (311 nucleotides) under uncultured eukaryote. RNAcentral describes it as "partial 18S ribosomal RNA". It matches the Rfam family "Eukaryotic small subunit ribosomal RNA", at positions 1470 to 1796 of the family's 1831-position model. The record is from RNAcentral.